RNAcentral lists this ribosomal RNA (429 nucleotides) under Bacillota bacterium. RNAcentral's name for it is "Firmicutes bacterium partial 16S ribosomal RNA". It matches the Rfam family "Bacterial small subunit ribosomal RNA", at positions 355 to 776 of the family's 1533-position model. The record is from RNAcentral. Lineage: Bacteria; Bacillati; Bacillota.
UAGGGAAUCUUCGGCAAUGGACGGAAGUCUGACCGAGCAACGCCGCGUGAGUGAAGAAGGUUUUCGGAUCGUAAAGCUCUGUUGUUAGAGAAGAACGUUGGUAGGAGUGGAAAAUCUACCAAGUGACGGUAACUAACCAGAAAGGGACGGCUAAAUACGUGCCAGCAGCCGCGGUAAUACGUAGGUCCCGAGCGUUGUCCGGAUUUAUUGGGCGUAAAGCGAGCGCAGGCGGUUCUUUAAGUCUGAAGUUAAAGGCAGUGGCUUAACCAUUGUACGCUUUGGAAACUGGAGGACUUGAGUGCAGAAGGGGGGAGUGGAAUUCCAUGUGUAGCGGUGAAAUGCGUAGAUAUAUGGGGAAACACCGGUUGCGGAAGCGGCUCUCUGGUCUGUAACUGACGCUGAGGCUCGAAAGCGUGGGGAGCAAACAGG